AGCUCCAAUAGUGUAUAUUAAAGUUGCUGCGGUUAAAAAGCUCGUAGUUGGAUUUCGGGGGCAUUCAGGCCAAAGCUCGUCCUUGUGGCGUGGCUGGGUCUGGGCUUCCUACGUUUGGAUAGUGGGCAACCGCUUCCAAUCAUUUACUUUGAAAAAAUUAGAGUGUUCAAAGCAGGCGUAACCUUGCCAUUGAAUAUUACAGCAUGGGAUAAUAGAAUAUGACGUUGGUCUUAUUUUGUUGGUUUCUAAGGCUGAUGUAAUGAUUAAUAGGGAUAGUUGGGGUCGCUCGUAUUGAGUUGUCAGAGGUGAAAUUCUAGGAUUUACUCAAGACGAACUAAUGCGAAAGCAUUCGACAAGGAUGUUUUCA
Molecule: ribosomal RNA, 367 nt
Filed under: uncultured eukaryote
Lineage: Eukaryota
Description: SSU rRNA
Rfam family: Eukaryotic small subunit ribosomal RNA
Source: RNAcentral